Molecule: ribosomal RNA, 158 nt
Filed under: Bipolaris sorokiniana
Lineage: Eukaryota; Fungi; Ascomycota; Dothideomycetes; Pleosporales; Pleosporaceae
Description: 5.8S ribosomal RNA
Rfam family: 5.8S ribosomal RNA (bases 21-158)
About the family: 5.8S ribosomal RNA (5.8S rRNA) is a component of the large subunit of the eukaryotic ribosome. It is transcribed by RNA polymerase I as part of the 45S precursor that also contains 18S and 28S rRNA.
Source: RNAcentral
AAAAACAAUGUAAUUAUUACAACUUUCAACAACGGAUCUCUUGGUUCUGGCAUCGAUGAAGAACGCAGCGAAAUGCGAUACGUAGUGUGAAUUGCAGAAUUCAGUGAAUCAUCGAAUCUUUGAACGCACAUUGCGCCCUUUGGUAUUCCAAAGGGCAU